AGUGAACGCUGGCGGUAGGCCUAACACAUGCAAGUCGAACGGCAGCACAGUAAGAGCUUGCUCUUACGGGUGGCGAGUGGCGGACGGGUGAGGAAUACAUCGGAAUCUACUUUUUCGUGGGGGAUAACGUAGGGAAACUUACGCUAAUACCGCAUACGACCUACGGGUGAAAGCAGGGGAUCUUCGGACCUUGCGCGAUUGAAUGAGCCGAUGUCGGAUUAGCUAGUUGGCGGGGUAAAGGCCCACCAAGGCGACGAUCCGUAGCUGGUCUGAGAGGAUGAUCAGCCUCACUGGAAGUGAGACACGGUCCAGACUCCUACGGGAGGCAGCAGUGGGGAAUAUUGGACAAUGGGCGCAAGCCUGAUCCAGCCAUACCGCGUGGGUGAAGAAGGCCUUCGGGUUGUAAAGCCCUUUUGUUGGGAAAGAAAAGCAGCAGGUUAAUACCCCGCUGUUCUGACGGUACCCAAAGAAUAAGCACCGGCUAACUUCGUG
This 492-nucleotide ribosomal RNA is filed under the name uncultured bacterium. RNAcentral's name for it is "partial 16S ribosomal RNA". It matches the Rfam family "Bacterial small subunit ribosomal RNA", at positions 29 to 507 of the family's 1533-position model. The record is from RNAcentral.